RNAcentral lists this ribosomal RNA (354 nucleotides) under uncultured bacterium. RNAcentral's name for it is "partial 16S ribosomal RNA". It matches the Rfam family "Bacterial small subunit ribosomal RNA", at positions 338 to 709 of the family's 1533-position model. The record is from RNAcentral.
CCUACGGGCGGCAGCAGUGGGGAAUAUUGCACAAUGGGGGAAACCCUGAUGCAGCGACGCCGCGUGAGUGAAGAAGUAAUUCGUUAUGUAAAGCUCUAUCAGCAGGGAAGAAAAUGACGGUACCUGAGUAAGAAGCCCCGGCUAACUACGUGCCAGCAGCCGCGGUAAUACGUAGGGGGCAAGCGUUAUCCGGAUUUACUGGGUGUAAAGGGAGCGUAGACGGCAGUGCAAGUCUGGAGUGAAAGGCGGGGGCUCAACCCCCGGACUGCUUUGGAAACUGUACGGCUGGAGUGCAGGAGAGGUAAGUGGAAUUCCUAGUGUAGCGGUAAAAUGCGUAGAGAUUAGGAGGAACAC